GAUGAACGCUGGCGGCGUGCCUAAUACAUGCAAGUCGAGCGAACAGACGAGGAGCUUGCUCCUUUGACGUUAGCGGCGGACGGGUGAGUAACACGUGGGUAACCUACCUAUAAGACUGGGAUAACUUCGGGAAACCGGAGCUAAUACCGGAUAAUAUUUCGAACCGCAUGGUUCGAUAGUGAAAGAUGGCUUUGCUAUCACUUAUAGAUGGACCUGCGCCGUAUUAGCUAGUUGGUAAGGUAACGGCUUACAAAGGCAACGAUACGUAGCCGACCUGAGAGGGUGAUCGGCCACACUGGAACUGAGACACGGUCCAGACUCCUACGGGAGGCAGCAGUCGGGAAUCUUCCGCAAUGGGCGAAAGCCUGACGGAGCAACGCCGCGUGAGUGAUGAUGGUCUUCGGAUCGUAAAACUCUGUUAUUAGGGAAGAACAAACGUGUAAGUAACUGUGCACGUCUUGACGGUACCUAAUCAGAAAGCCACGGCUAACUACGUG
Molecule: ribosomal RNA, 497 nt
Filed under: uncultured bacterium
Lineage: Bacteria
Description: partial 16S ribosomal RNA
Rfam family: Bacterial small subunit ribosomal RNA
Source: RNAcentral